This 460-nucleotide ribosomal RNA is filed under the name uncultured bacterium. RNAcentral's name for it is "SSU rRNA". It matches the Rfam family "Bacterial small subunit ribosomal RNA", at positions 26 to 518 of the family's 1533-position model. The record is from RNAcentral.
AGAAUCAACGCUGGCGGCGUGCCUAACACAUGCAAGUCGCACGAGAAAGGGACUUCGGUCCUGAGUACAGUGGCGCACGGGUGAGUAACACGUGAAUGAUCUACCUCCGAGUGGGGAAUAACCUAGAGAAAUCUGGGCUAAUACCGCAUAACACUUACGAGUCAAAGCAGCAAUGCGCUUGGAGAGGAGUUCGCGGCCGAUUAGCUAGUUGGCGGGGUAAUGGCCCACCAAGGCGAUGAUCGGUAUCCGGCCUGAGAGGGCGCACGGACACACUGGAACUGAAACACGGUCCAGACUCCUACGGGAGGCAGCAGUGGGGAAUUUUGCGCAAUGGGGGAAACCCUGACGCAGCAACGCCGCGUGGAGGAUGAAGCCCCUUGGGGUGUAAACUCCUUUCGAUCGGGAAGAUUAUGACGGUACCGAUAUAAGAAGCCCCGGCUAACUUCGCGCCAGCAGCCGC